Molecule: ribosomal RNA, 253 nt
Filed under: uncultured bacterium
Lineage: Bacteria
Description: partial 16S ribosomal RNA
Rfam family: Bacterial small subunit ribosomal RNA
Source: RNAcentral
UACGUAGGGUGCAAGCGUUGUCCGGAAUUAUUGGGCGUAAAGAGCUCGUAGGCGGUUUGUUGCGUCGGCUGUGAAAUCUCGAGGCUCAACCUCGGGUCUGCAGUCGAUACGAGCAAACUAGAGUGUUGCAGGGGAGACUGGAAUUCCUGGUGUAGCGGUGAAAUGCGCAGAUAUCAGGAGGAACACCGGUGGCGAAGGCGGGUCUCUGGGCAGUAACUGACGCUGAGGAGCGAAAGCGUGGGGAGCGAACAGG